UACCAAAAAAAAAAAAAAAUUACCCCGACUCUCAACAGUAUGAGAACGCUGCCUUCUCCACUGGUCCCUUGUCCUUCCUUUCCUCGAGUCCUCGGUUGAGGGCUCUUCCUCCGUCGUCUUCAGGAACCAGACGGGCGAUCGAUCCCCUUCUUCUUAGUUCUUCACGGUUGUCUUGACUCUGAGGCUUUUUCCAUUGUCUUCUUCGUCUGAUCACGUUGUUAGGGUUUUUCAUUUUGUAUUGAGGAAGAAGAUUGAGUAUUUGCAGAGGCUGGGUGCUGCGGACCUACAGAAGCCUCAAAGGUUGGAGACGGGGAGCUAACGGACUACACUAACACUAUGUUAGCUCAAUAAAACUAUAACUUUGCCAAAAAUUUGCCUAAAGUUUUUUGUGGACAUGAUUCUUAAUGGAUGCG
Long non-coding RNA from Macadamia integrifolia, 413 nucleotides. RefSeq lists it as uncharacterized. The transcript is spliced from 3 exons. Lineage: Eukaryota; Viridiplantae; Streptophyta; Magnoliopsida; Proteales; Proteaceae. The record is from RefSeq and is a predicted model, not a curated record.